This is a small nucleolar RNA of Platichthys flesus (European flounder), 71 nucleotides long. RefSeq annotates it as small nucleolar RNA R38. The record is from RefSeq and is a predicted model, not a curated record. Lineage: Eukaryota; Metazoa; Chordata; Actinopteri; Pleuronectiformes; Pleuronectidae. The transcript has a single exon.
UCAAGCCACUGAUGAUACAAGUUAUCCCUGUCUGAAAUUAAAGUGUUGAUUCAUGGUAAUCUGAGGCUUGA